GACGAACGCUGGCGGCGUGCUUAACACAUGCAAGUCGAACGGAAAGGCCUGCUUUCCCUUGUGGAUUGCGGGUGCUCGAGUGGCGAACGGGUGAGUAACACGUGAGUGAUCUGCCCCCAACUUGGGUAUAAGCCUGGGAAACUGGGUCUAAUUCCCGAUAGGACUGCAGGGUGGUGCCUGUGGUGGAAAACGAUUUUCUAGUGGUUGGGGAUGAGCUCGCGGCCUAUCAGCUUGUUGGUGGGGUAAUGGCCUACCAAGGCGGCGACGGGUAGCCGGCCUGAGAGGGUGGAAGGCCACAUUGGGACUGAGAUACGGCCCAGACUCCUACGGGAGGCAGCAGUGGGGAAUAUUGCACAAUGGGCGGAAGCCUGAUGCAGCGACGCCGCGUGGGGGAUGACGGCCUUCGGGUUGUAAACUCCUUUCGACCGCGAGGAAGCCACCUGGUUGGAAGGGUGGUGACGGUAGUGGUAGAAGAAGCACCGGCUAACUACGUG
This 494-nucleotide ribosomal RNA is filed under the name uncultured bacterium. RNAcentral describes it as "partial 16S ribosomal RNA". It matches the Rfam family "Bacterial small subunit ribosomal RNA", at positions 28 to 507 of the family's 1533-position model. The record is from RNAcentral.